This 423-nucleotide ribosomal RNA is filed under the name uncultured bacterium. Its description in RNAcentral is "bacterial SSU rRNA". It matches the Rfam family "Bacterial small subunit ribosomal RNA", at positions 54 to 475 of the family's 1533-position model. The record is from RNAcentral.
CAUGCAAGUCGAACGGAGAUUACAGGCGGAAGUUUUCGGAUGGAAGCUUGUAAACUUAGUGGCGGACGGGUGAGUAACACGUGAGCAACCUGCCUAUCAGAGGGGGAUAACGAUUGGAAACGAUCGCUAAUACCGCAUGACAUAGCGGAAUCGCAUGGUUCUGUUAUCAAAGAUUUUAUCGCUGAUAGAUGGGCUCGCGUCCGAUUAGAUAGUUGGUGGGGUAACGGCCUACCAAGUCGACGAUCGGUAGCCGGACUGAGAGGUCGAACGGCCACAUUGGGACUGAGACACGGCCCAGACUCCUACGGGAGGCAGCAGUGGGGGAUAUUGCACAAUGGGGGAAACCCUGACGCAGCGACGCCGCGUGAGGGAAGACGGUCCUCUGGAUUGUAAACCUCUGUCUUCGGGGACGAAACGAGACGG